RNAcentral lists this transfer RNA (116 nucleotides) under Paramuribaculum sp. RNAcentral's name for it is "tRNA-Met". It matches the Rfam family "tRNA". Rfam says of the family: Transfer RNA (tRNA) molecules are approximately 80 nucleotides in length. Lineage: Bacteria; Pseudomonadati; Bacteroidota; Bacteroidia; Bacteroidales; Muribaculaceae. The record is from RNAcentral.
GGUCUUAUAGCUCAGUUGGUUGCAUCGGAAAGAUGAGCGAGGCGAAUCUUUUAGAUGCCGUAGAGAGCACCUGACUCAUAAUCAGGGAGUCCUAGGUUCAAGCCCAAGUGGGACCA